RNAcentral lists this ribosomal RNA (730 nucleotides) under uncultured bacterium. RNAcentral describes it as "bacterial SSU rRNA". It matches the Rfam family "Bacterial small subunit ribosomal RNA", at positions 771 to 1501 of the family's 1533-position model. The record is from RNAcentral.
AACAGGAUUAGAUACCCUGGUAGUCCAUGCCGUAAACGAUGUCUACUAGCCGUUGGGGCCUUUGAGGCUUUAGUGGCGCAGCUAACGCGAUAAGUAGACCGCCUGGGGAGUACGGUCGCAAGACUAAAACUCAAAUGAAUUGACGGGGGCCCGCACAAGCGGUGGAGCAUGUGGUUUAAUUCGAUGCAACGCGAAGAACCUUACCUGGCCUUGACAUACUAGAAACUUUCCAGAGAUGGAUCGGUGCCUUCGGGAAUCUAGAUACAGGUGCUGCAUGGCUGUCGUCAGCUCGUGUCGUGAGAUGUUGGGUUAAGUCCCGCAACGAGCGCAACCCUUUUCCUUACUUGCCAGCAUUUCGGAUGGGAACUUUAAGGAUACUGCCAGUGGCAAACUGGAGGAAGGCGGGGACGACGUCAAGUCAUCAUGGCCCUUACGGCCAGGGCUACACACGUGCUACAAUGGUCGGUACAAAGGGUUGCUACACAGCGAUGUGAUGCUAAUCUCAAAAAGCCGAUCGUAGUCCGGAUUGGAGUCUGCAACUCGACUCCAUGAAGUCGGAAUCGCUAGUAACCGCGGAUCAGAAUGCCGCGGUGAAUACGUUCCCGGGCCUUGUACACACCGCCCGUCACACCAUGGGAGUUUGUUGCACCAGAAGUAGGUAGUCUAACCGCAAGGAGGACGCUUACCACGGUGUGGCCGAUGACUGGGGUGAAGUCGUAACAAGGUAACC